This 2932-nucleotide ribosomal RNA is filed under the name Escherichia coli. RNAcentral describes it as "23S ribosomal RNA". It matches the Rfam family "Bacterial large subunit ribosomal RNA". Lineage: Bacteria; Pseudomonadati; Pseudomonadota; Gammaproteobacteria; Enterobacterales; Enterobacteriaceae. The record is from RNAcentral.
GGGUUGUGAGGUUAAGCGACUAAGCGUACACGGUGGAUGCCCUGGCAGUCAGAGGCGAUGAAGGACGUGCUAAUCUGCGAUAAGCGUCGGUAAGGUGAUAUGAACCGUUAUAACCGGCGAUUUCCGAAUGGGGAAACCCAGUGUGAUUCGUCACACUAUCAUUAACUGAAUCCAUAGGUUAAUGAGGCGAACCGGGGGAACUGAAACAUCUAAGUACCCCGAGGAAAAGAAAUCAACCGAGAUUCCCCCAGUAGCGGCGAGCGAACGGGGAGGAGCCCAGAGCCUGAAUCAGUGUGUGUGUUAGUGGAAGCGUCUGGAAAGGCGCGCGAUACAGGGUGACAGCCCCGUACACAAAAAUGCACAUAUUGUGAGCUCGAUGAGUAGGGCGGGACACGUGGUAUCCUGUCUGAAUAUGGGGGGACCAUCCUCCAAGGCUAAAUACUCCUGACUGACCGAUAGUGAACCAGUACCGUGAGGGAAAGGCGAAAAGAACCCCGGCGAGGGGAGUGAAAAAGAACCUGAAACCGUGUACGUACAAGCAGUGGGAGCACGCUUAGGCGUGUGACUGCGUACCUUUUGUAUAAUGGGUCAGCGACUUAUAUUCUGUAGCAAGGUUAACCGAAUAGGGGAGCCGAAGGGAAACCGAGUCUUAACUGGGCGUUAAGUUGCAGGGUAUAGACCCGAAACCCGGUGAUCUAGCCAUGGGCAGGUUGAAGGUUGGGUAACACUAACUGGAGGACCGAACCGACUAAUGUUGAAAAAUUAGCGGAUGACUUGUGGCUGGGGGUGAAAGGCCAAUCAAACCGGGAGAUAGCUGGUUCUCCCCGAAAGCUAUUUAGGUAGCGCCUCGUGAAUUCAUCUCCGGGGGUAGAGCACUGUUUCGGCAAGGGGGUCAUCCCGACUUACCAACCCGAUGCAAACUGCGAAUACCGGAGAAUGUUAUCACGGGAGACACACGGCGGGUGCUAACGUCCGUCGUGAAGAGGGAAACAACCCAGACCGCCAGCUAAGGUCCCAAAGUCAUGGUUAAGUGGGAAACGAUGUGGGAAGGCCCAGACAGCCAGGAUGUUGGCUUAGAAGCAGCCAUCAUUUAAAGAAAGCGUAAUAGCUCACUGGUCGAGUCGGCCUGCGCGGAAGAUGUAACGGGGCUAAACCAUGCACCGAAGCUGCGGCAGCGACGCUUAUGCGUUGUUGGGUAGGGGAGCGUUCUGUAAGCCUGCGAAGGUGUGCUGUGAGGCAUGCUGGAGGUAUCAGAAGUGCGAAUGCUGACAUAAGUAACGAUAAAGCGGGUGAAAAGCCCGCUCGCCGGAAGACCAAGGGUUCCUGUCCAACGUUAAUCGGGGCAGGGUGAGUCGACCCCUAAGGCGAGGCCGAAAGGCGUAGUCGAUGGGAAACAGGUUAAUAUUCCUGUACUUGGUGUUACUGCGAAGGGGGGACGGAGAAGGCUAUGUUGGCCGGGCGACGGUUGUCCCGGUUUAAGCGUGUAGGCUGGUUUUCCAGGCAAAUCCGGAAAAUCAAGGCUGAGGCGUGAUGACGAGGCACUACGGUGCUGAAGCAACAAAUGCCCUGCUUCCAGGAAAAGCCUCUAAGCAUCAGGUAACAUCAAAUCGUACCCCAAACCGACACAGGUGGUCAGGUAGAGAAUACCAAGGCGCUUGAGAGAACUCGGGUGAAGGAACUAGGCAAAAUGGUGCCGUAACUUCGGGAGAAGGCACGCUGAUAUGUAGGUGAGGUCCCUCGCGGAUGGAGCUGAAAUCAGUCGAAGAUACCAGCUGGCUGCAACUGUUUAUUAAAAACACAGCACUGUGCAAACACGAAAGUGGACGUAUACGGUGUGACGCCUGCCCGGUGCCGGAAGGUUAAUUGAUGGGGUUAGCCGCAAGGCGAAGCUCUUGAUCGAAGCCCCGGUAAACGGCGGCCGUAACUAUAACGGUCCUAAGGUAGCGAAAUUCCUUGUCGGGUAAGUUCCGACCUGCACGAAUGGCGUAAUGAUGGCCAGGCUGUCUCCACCCGAGACUCAGUGAAAUUGAACUCGCUGUGAAGAUGCAGUGUACCCGCGGCAAGACGGAAAGACCCCGUGAACCUUUACUAUAGCUUGACACUGAACAUUGAGCCUUGAUGUGUAGGAUAGGUGGGAGGCUUAGAAGUGUGGACGCCAGUCUGCAUGGAGCCGACCUUGAAAUACCACCCUUUAAUGUUUGAUGUUCUAACGUUGACCCGUAAUCCGGGUUGCGGACAGUGUCUGGUGGGUAGUUUGACUGGGGCGGUCUCCUCCUAAAGAGUAACGGAGGAGCACGAAGGUUGGCUAAUCCUGGUCGGACAUCAGGAGGUUAGUGCAAUGGCAUAAGCCAGCUUGACUGCGAGCGUGACGGCGCGAGCAGGUGCGAAAGCAGGUCAUAGUGAUCCGGUGGUUCUGAAUGGAAGGGCCAUCGCUCAACGGAUAAAAGGUACUCCGGGGAUAACAGGCUGAUACCGCCCAAGAGUUCAUAUCGACGGCGGUGUUUGGCACCUCGAUGUCGGCUCAUCACAUCCUGGGGCUGAAGUAGGUCCCAAGGGUAUGGCUGUUCGCCAUUUAAAGUGGUACGCGAGCUGGGUUUAGAACGUCGUGAGACAGUUCGGUCCCUAUCUGCCGUGGGCGCUGGAGAACUGAGGGGGGCUGCUCCUAGUACGAGAGGACCGGAGUGGACGCAUCACUGGUGUUCGGGUUGUCAUGCCAAUGGCACUGCCCGGUAGCUAAAUGCGGAAGAGAUAAGUGCUGAAAGCAUCUAAGCACGAAACUUGCCCCGAGAUGAGUUCUCCCUGACCCUUUAAGGGUCCUGAAGGAACGUUGAAGACGACGACGUUGAUAGGCCGGGUGUGUAAGCGCAGCGAUGCGUUGAGCUAACCGGUACUAAUGAACCGUGAGGCUUAACCUUACAACGCCGAAGCUGUU